This 532-nucleotide ribosomal RNA is filed under the name Trichoderma inhamatum. Its description in RNAcentral is "eukaryotic LSU rRNA". It matches the Rfam family "Eukaryotic large subunit ribosomal RNA", at positions 118 to 673 of the family's 3401-position model. RNAcentral also lists the same sequence under 1 other name. Lineage: Eukaryota; Fungi; Ascomycota; Sordariomycetes; Hypocreales; Hypocreaceae. The record is from RNAcentral.
AAAUCUGGCCCCUAGGGUCCGAGUUGUAAUUUGUAGAGGAUGCUUUUGGUGAGGUGCCGCCCGAGUUCCCUGGAACGGGACGCCACAGAGGGUGAGAGCCCCGUCUGGCUGGCCGCCGAGCCUCUGUAAAGCUCCUUCGACGAGUCGAGUAGUUUGGGAAUGCUGCUCAAAAUGGGAGGUAUAUGUCUUCUAAAGCUAAAUAUUGGCCAGAGACCGAUAGCGCACAAGUAGAGUGAUCGAAAGAUGAAAAGCACCUUGAAAAGAGGGUUAAAUAGUACGUGAAAUUGUUGAAAGGGAAGCGCUUGUGACCAGACUUGGGCGCGGCGGAUCAUCCGGGGUUCUCUCCGGUGCACUUCGCCGCGUCUAGGCCAGCAUCAGUUCGUCGCGGGGGAAAAAGGCUUCGGGAACGUGGCUCCUCCGGGAGUGUUAUAGCCCGUUGCAUAAUACCCUGCGGUGGACUGAGGACCGCGCAUCUGCAAGGAUGCUGGCGUAAUGGUCACCAGCGACCCGUCUUGAAACACGGACCAAGGAG